GACGAACGCUGGCGGCGUGCUUAACACAUGCAAGUCGAGCGGUAAGGCCCUUUCGGGGGUACACGAGCGGCGAACGGGUGAGUAACACGUGGGUGACCUGCCCUCAGCUCUGGGAUAAGCCUGGGAAACCGGGUCUAAUACUGGAUAUGACUCCAUGACGCAUGUUGUGGGGUGGAAAGCCUUGUGCGGCUGAGGAUGGGCCCGCGGCCUAUCAGCUUGUUGGUGGGGUGANGGCCUACCAAGGCGACGACGGGUAGCCGGCCUGAGAGGGCGACCGGCCACACUGGGACUGAGACACGGCCCAGACUCCUACGGGAGGCAGCAGUGGGGAAUCUUGCGCAAUGGGCGAAAGCCUGACGCAGCGACGCCGCGUGAGGGAUGACGGCCUCGGUUGUAACCC
Molecule: ribosomal RNA, 400 nt
Filed under: uncultured bacterium
Lineage: Bacteria
Description: bacterial SSU rRNA
Rfam family: Bacterial small subunit ribosomal RNA
Source: RNAcentral